Molecule: ribosomal RNA, 305 nt
Rfam family: Bacterial large subunit ribosomal RNA
GAGGCAGAGAUGCGUAGCUGAUGGGAAGCAGGUUAAUAUUCCUGCACCGUCGUAUGAUGCGAUGGGGGGACGGAUCGCGGAAGGUUGUCCAACUGUUGGAAUAGUUGGUUUUUGGCUCAUAGAAGGCGCUUAGGCAAAUCCGGGCGCGCAAUUCAAGGGGUUGAGACGAGUGAAUUUAUUCACGAAGCAAUCGGAAGUGGUUCCAAGAAAAGCCUCUAAGCUUCAGUCAUACGAGACCGUACCGCAAACCGACACAGGUGGGCGAGAUGAGUAUUCUAAGGCGCUUGAGAGAACUCGGGAGAAGG